Molecule: ribosomal RNA, 484 nt
Filed under: uncultured bacterium
Lineage: Bacteria
Description: partial 16S ribosomal RNA
Rfam family: Bacterial small subunit ribosomal RNA
Source: RNAcentral
AUUGAACGCUGGCGGCAGGCCUAACACAUGCAAGUCGAGCGGAUGAAGGGAGCUUGCUCCUGGAUUCAGCGGCGGACGGGUGAGUAAUGCCUAGGAAUCUGCCUGGUAGUGGGGGAUAACGUCCGGAAACGGGCGCUAAUACCGCAUACGUCCUGAGGGAGAAAGUGGGGGAUCUUCGGACCUCACGCUAUCAGAUGAGCCUAGGUCGGAUUAGCUAGGUGGUGGGGUAAAGGCCUACCAAGGCGACGAUCCGUAACUGGUCUGAGAGGAUGAUCAGUCACACUGGAACUGAGACACGGUCCAGACUCCUACGGGAGGCAGCAGUGGGGAAUAUUGGACAAUGGGCGAAAGCCUGAUCCAGCCAUGCCGCGUGUGUGAAGAAGGUCUUCGGAUUGUAAAGCACUUUAAGUUGGGAGGAAGGGCAGUAAGUUAAUACCUUGCUGUUUUGACGUUACCAACAGAAUAAGCACCGGCUAACUUCGUG